Ictidomys tridecemlineatus (thirteen-lined ground squirrel) is the source of this 100-nucleotide small nuclear RNA. Lineage: Eukaryota; Metazoa; Chordata; Mammalia; Rodentia; Sciuridae. The record is from Ensembl.
GUGCUAGCUUUGGCAGCACAUAUACUAAAAUUGAAACAAUACAGAGAAGAUUAGCAUGGCCCCUGCACAAGGAUGACAUGCAAAUUCAUUCCAUAUUUUU